GUCUACGGCCAUGCCACCCUAACCAAGCCCGAUCCCGUCUGAUCUCGGAAGCUAAGCAGGGUCGGGCCUGGUUAGUGCUUGGAUGGGAGACCACCUUGGAAGACCAGGUGCUGUAGGCG
This is a non-coding RNA of Pteropus alecto (black flying fox), 119 nucleotides long. The record is from Rfam. Lineage: Eukaryota; Metazoa; Chordata; Mammalia; Chiroptera; Pteropodidae.